RNAcentral lists this ribosomal RNA (945 nucleotides) under Triticum aestivum (bread wheat). RNAcentral describes it as "partial small subunit ribosomal RNA". Lineage: Eukaryota; Viridiplantae; Streptophyta; Magnoliopsida; Poales; Poaceae. The record is from RNAcentral.
AUGCCCAUGUCCUCCCAGGCCCAUCCAACCCCUAAUCCUAACCCUAGCCCGACUCCUCCCUCGAUACCUCUCCCCUUCCCCCGUUCCCUUCCAUCCAGCGCCGCCAGGAGCCUCGCUCCCCAUCUCCCUCCGCGCCCGAUCUCCUCCUGCACCGUGCCCCGAUCGAUGGCGCCUCCUGAGCAUGCCCGAUCUCCACCAGCAGCCUCUCCAUCGACCCCGCUCUCCUCCUACCCUACGACCAAGCCGCCGCCCUGGAGCUUCUCCGCCGCCGGCGCCCUUCUCCAGCGCCCCAAGUCUCGUCGGCGCCUGCUCCUGUAUCGAGCAGGGGAGCAAGGAGGACGAAGCCCAGCUCUGCCGCCUAGGCAAUUCGUCUGUGCCGCGCCUCCCCUUCCUCUGCUCCCUUUUCGACCUCCUCCUCGUCGUUGCCAUUGCCACAAGCAGAGGCUUGCCUCGCCUCCUCCGACAACCUCAACUUCCAGCCCGCUGCUCUGCCUCGCCUCUCACCCGGCCGCCCCCGCGUCGUCUGCGCAGCCGCCUGCAUCACGCCCGAGCUCCCGCUUCCUUCGUCCAUGGCGUCGCUGCCGUUCCUGGCCUCGCCCACAGCUCCUCCAUGUUCUGGUGUCGCCGACUGACCUCGUCUUCCUCCUACCCUGCUGUUGUCAUCGAGCACCAUUGAUGCAUCUAUGUGUGGAACCUGCAAGUACCCCGACGUUCAUCACCAUGCACAACUACAGCGACAAGGGUACCACUACCGUCGACCUAGGGACGCCAAGUUCCUCUACUACCCGUGUGUGGCUACAUCCGGAGAUGCGUCAAGUUCAACUUCCUUCAUGGGAACGACUACCUCUCGCGGGCGUGUAUCGUCGCCUUGUACCAUUUUGGUUCUUCAAGGCCACCAAGUUCCGCUACGAGAUGUACCCGUACCAUCGCCGAAGACCCGUGUAA